CAGGGAGACUGCUGCUACCUGCCUUGGAAUUCUGGCGCAAUCAGAUGCCAAUUUACGAUGCGGAUCAUAAACUUAUUGGAAUACAGGAAGCCGAACGACCUGGAGGGAGUGGAUCCAAGCCUCAUAGAAGGCGAAGACAAUAGAGUUAAAUCGCAGUAGGAAAGGAUGCGAAGUGCUUUUGUUGAUAGUAUGUAAAAGUUAGUAGC
Ziziphus jujuba (common jujube) is the source of this 206-nucleotide long non-coding RNA. RefSeq lists it as uncharacterized. Lineage: Eukaryota; Viridiplantae; Streptophyta; Magnoliopsida; Rosales; Rhamnaceae. The record is from RefSeq and is a predicted model, not a curated record. The transcript is spliced from 4 exons.